This 29-nucleotide ribosomal RNA is filed under the name Hesperocyparis arizonica. Its description in RNAcentral is "partial 18S ribosomal RNA". Lineage: Eukaryota; Viridiplantae; Streptophyta; Pinopsida; Cupressales; Cupressaceae. The record is from RNAcentral.
CUGAUAGGUGAACCUGCGGUAGGAUCAUU